Molecule: ribosomal RNA, 324 nt
Filed under: Triticum aestivum (bread wheat)
Lineage: Eukaryota; Viridiplantae; Streptophyta; Magnoliopsida; Poales; Poaceae
Description: partial small subunit ribosomal RNA
Source: RNAcentral
GCUCCGGCGCCGGCGCCGGCGGCCCGGGACUGGUCGGAGCUUCCCCUCGACGUGCUUUCUUUCCUCUACGUCAAGCUCGGCGCCAUCGACGUCCUCAUGGGUGCGGGCCUUGUGUGCCACUCGUGGCUCCAGGCGGCCAAGCUGCCCGACGUGUGGCGAUGCGUGAAGAUGGAGGGCCACAAGUUCGUGCGGAGGCACAAGUAUUCUGCUAGAUUGUUGGCCAUGGCGAAGGUGGCCGUGGACCGCUCUGAUGGGCAAGUUCAAAUGUUUGCCGGAGAGCGGUUUGUUACCAAUGAGCUGCUCAUGUAUAUUGCUGAAAGGUAG